RNAcentral lists this ribosomal RNA (2865 nucleotides) under uncultured archaeon. Its description in RNAcentral is "bacterial LSU rRNA". It matches the Rfam family "Archaeal large subunit ribosomal RNA", at positions 15 to 2591 of the family's 2987-position model. The record is from RNAcentral.
ACGCUAUUAGGUGGAGGACUCGGCUCAUAUUGAUGAAGAAGGGUGUGACAAGCAACAUUAUGCUUCGGCGAACUGCACGUAAGUGUUGAACCGAAGAUACCUGAAUGUGACUUCACUACCAAGACAGUAAUGUCGAGCAACGCAGGGAAUGGAAACGUCUUAGUACCUGCCGGAAAAGAAACCAAUUGAGAUACUGUUAGUAACAGCGAGUGAAAACAGCACAAUGCAAACUGAAUCCUGCCAGUAAUGGUAAGGAGAUGUGGUGUAACAAGACUUUCUUUUAGUCCUAAGGUGCAAACUCAAAGUCUCCUGGAAAGGAGUGCCGCAGAGUGUGAUAGCCACGUAGGGGAAUGCAUCCGGAUGUGAGAGUAUCUUGAGUACUGUAUCUCGGAUAUGAUACAGGAACUUGGGAGGCAUUAACUUCCAACAUUAAAUACAUUAUGAGACCGAUAGCAAACUAAGUACAGCGAUGGAAAGUUGAAAAGAACCCAUAACAGGGAGUUCAAAGAUCCUGAAACCUAAUAGCUAUAGUGAGAUAGGGCUCUUCGGAGUUCUAUCGUACGUUUAGAAUAACGUGCCAGGGAGUAUAUCUGAGUGGCAAGGGUAAUUCGAAAAGAAGUACCCGAAGCGAAAGCAAUUAGCCCGCAAGCAAUGAGGGGCAUGGUAUGAAAGUGCCAUAAGUCACUUGGAUACGACCCGAAACCGGGUGAUCUAACCCAGGGUAAGAUGAAGCAAGGGUAAAACCUUGUGGAGGUCUGAAGAGGUUCUACGUGCAAGUGUUCUUCUAACCUUGGGCUAGGGGUGAAAAGCCAAUCGAACCCGGUGAUAGCUGGUUCCUACCAAAGUUGGCGUAAGUCAAGUCUGGACAGAGAUAGCAGGAAAGGUAAAGAUACUGAUUAGUGAGUUAGGUUCCGAAAGGGAUCGCUCACCUGUCAAACUCUAAAGCUUCCUGCAUCUGAGAAGUCUGGAGACGGGGACGCGAGGUAAACUCACGUUUCGAAAGGGGAACAACCCAGACUAUAGUUAAGGUCCCUAAAUAUCAAUUAAGUGUGAAAGGGUGAAAAGUGUUUAUUGUCAUAGACAGCGAGGAGAUUGGCUCAGAAGCAGCCAUCCUUUAAAAAGUGCGUAACAGCUUACUCGUCAAGACAAUAGGCCUUGAAAGUGGACGGGACUAAAUUGAUUACCGAUACUAUAGACCGCACAGCUGUGCGAGUGAUAGGUAGGCGUUCUGCUAGAGUAGAAGUACCUUUGAGAAUUGGUAUGCAUCUUGCAGAAAUGAGAAUCCUGGUGGUAGUAGGAUCUAAGCAGAGUGAGAAUCUCUGCCACUGAAAGGGCAAGGGUUCCUUGACAAUGUCGAUCAGUCAAGGGUUAGUUGGUCCUAACCAAUCUCAUAACAUGAGAAAAGGGAAAGGGAAAAAGGUUAAUAUUCCUUUACUAUUUUGGUAUGAGUGGCAACACAAGCAUGAUUUCAGACGCUUGCGGUUAGAGCGACAUGAACCAUCGUUCAUGUUAACUAAGAUAAAUCAAUGGAGUAUCGUAAUGAUGAGAAAUUGAUUAAGCUUAGGAAUAGUAUUCUGUACAGAGUAUUUGCUCAAUACCUUGAGUCCAUGAAAAUGGAAUCGUGAAAAAACCAGAAUAUCCAUACCCAGAACCAACACUGGUGCCCCUAGGUGAGAAGCCUAAAGUGUGAUGGAUUAAUCCGUCUUAGGGAAUUCGGCUAAUUGGCCCCGUACCUUCGGUAUAAGGGGUCCCUACUCUAGUGUCCUUAUGGAUGGCCAGAGUAGGGCGCAGUGACUAAGGAGGUCCGACUGUUUAACAAAAACACAACCUUUUGCUAGCCCGUAAGGGUGAGUACAGGAGGUGACGUCUGCCCAGUGCUAGUAAUUCAAACUCCGGUUCAACGGAGCUAAGAUCUAGUAAACGGCGGGGGUAACUAUAACUCUCUUAAGGUGAAUUCGUUGCCUUAAGACCUGAUAGUUAAACAGAUACGUCUAGAAAAGACAGGAUAAAAAUUUGGCUAUAUGCUGGAACCUCUUGAUGAAUUUCUUGUAGGAAAUUGUAGAAGCGAUUUUGCAACAAAAACUGAAAAUCAAGAAAUAAAAGACAAUCAGCAGGAAAGGCUUCUUAUGAAAAAUUAAGAAGAAUCCUCAGAGACUGAAUGCCAGACUAAACUUAGAAGAAAUUUUUGAUUAAACUUUUUCUAAAAAAGUUUAGAAGAUACAGUCCGAACAUAACAGCGAUGUUAUGAGAUCAGCAGAAAUGCCUGAUCCGAUUCUUGAAAUUAUUUAAGUGAGAAUUCGUAACACGUCCGAGCGAAAUACCUUGUCGUUUGAUUGACGACGCGCAUGAAGGGCGUAACGAGAUCUCCACUGUCCCGAGACGGACUCCACUGAAUACACUCCUUCGGUGCAAAGGCCGAAGAUUUCCAGUGGGAAGCGAAGACCCCGUGAAACUUUACUGCAGCCUGUUGCUGUAACGCAAGCUUUAUUGCAAAGCGUAGCUAGGAGUUGCUAAGCUUGGACUUUCGGGUUCAAGAUAGACGACAAUGUCACACUAGCCUAUAGAGCUUACGUUGCUAACCUGUUUACAGGGACAACAAUUGGUGGGCAGUUUGGCUGGGGUGGCACCCUGUCGAAAAGGUAUCGACAGGGCCCAAUGGUUGACUCAACCGGUUUAGAAAUCCGGUGUAGAGUGCAAGAGCAAAAGUCAGCCUGACUGAGAUCACAAUAAUACUGGUCUCAGAAACGAAAGUUGGGUCUAGCGAACCUCUAUGCCUCCUUAAUGGGGGCUAGGGAUGACUGAAAAGUUACUCCGGGGAUAACAGAGUUGUCGCGCCCGAGAGUUCAUACUGUGAAGUGGGAAACU